UGGGGAAUUUUGGACAAUGGGCGAAAGCCUGAUCCAGCAAUGCCGCGUGUGUGAAGAAGGCCUUCGGGUUGUAAAGCACUUUUGUCCGGAAAGAAAUCCUUGGCUCUAAUACAGUCGGGGGAUGACGGUACCGGAAGAAUAAGCACCGGCUAACUACGUGCCAGCAGCCGCGGUAAUACGUAGGGUGCAAGCGUUAAUCGGAAUUACUGGGCGUAAAGCGUGCGCAGGCGGUUUGCUAAGACCGAUGUGAAAUCCCCGGGCUCAACCUGGGAACUGCAUUGGUGACUGGCAGGCUAGAGUAUGGCAGAGGGGGGUAGAAUUCCACGUGUAGCAGUGAAAUGCGUAGAGAUGUGGAGGAAUACCGAUGGCGAAGGCAGCCCCCUGGGCCAAAUACUGACGCUCAUGCACGAAAGCGUGGGGAGCAAACAGGAUUAGAUACCCUGGUAGUCCACGCCCUAAAACGAUGUCAACUAGUUGUUGGGGAUUCAUUUCCUUAGUAACGUAGCUAACGCGUGAAGUUGACCGCCUGGGGAGUACGGUCGCAAGAUUAAAACUUAAAUGAAUUGACGGGGUCAUGCUG
This 580-nucleotide ribosomal RNA is filed under the name uncultured bacterium. Its description in RNAcentral is "partial 16S ribosomal RNA". It matches the Rfam family "Bacterial small subunit ribosomal RNA", at positions 355 to 926 of the family's 1533-position model. The record is from RNAcentral.